This 315-nucleotide ribosomal RNA is filed under the name Curtobacterium sp. RNAcentral describes it as "partial 16S ribosomal RNA". It matches the Rfam family "Bacterial small subunit ribosomal RNA", at positions 934 to 1267 of the family's 1533-position model. The record is from RNAcentral. Lineage: Bacteria; Bacillati; Actinomycetota; Actinomycetes; Micrococcales; Microbacteriaceae.
CGCCCCCCGCGGCGCUGCAUUAUUUUUGCAACGGAAGAACUUACCAAGCUUGACUCACCGCAAACGCAACAUGGUCGCCCCCCCCCCGUUGGUUACAGCUGGUGCAUGAAAAAAGCUCCUGUCGUGAGAUGUUGGUUAAGUCCCGCAACGAGCGCAACCCUCCUUCUUGUUGCCACGGGUCAUGCCGGGACUCAUAGGAGACUGCCGGGGUCAACUCGGAGGAAGGUGGGGAUGACGUCAAAUCAUCAUGCCCCUUACUCUUGGGCUUCACGCAUGCUACAAUGGCCGUCAAAGGGCUGGUACAAUAAGGUGGAG